AUGGCGAUGGCGGACGCUGCAGGCGACGGAUUCGAGUUCCUAUCAGAUCCAAUUGACAGAUUCCCAUUGCCGGAUCUCGCCGCCGCCGAAUUCUUUCUGCGCGGCGAAGCAAAUCAAUCUCUUGGGUGCGCCGUCGCUCAAUCUAGCAAUGGUGCUGUUUGGGAUGGCGCAGUGAUAGCACAAGAAGAAUUUGAGAGCGGCUCCAAAAGGAUCGCAAACAUCGAAUUCAGAGCGUUGGACAGCAAGGGCGAUGGACAAGCGGCUGACUCAGCCAACAGGUUUCGCUUGCCGGACCUCACCACCAGUAAAUCAUUGCUGGAUGGCGAAGCAAUGCAAACUUUGGUAUGCGCAGACGCUGAAUCCAGCAUUGGUGAUGUGGGUGAUGGUGAGGCAACAAUACAAGGAGAUGUCAAUAGCACCUGCAGUGGGAUGGCCCUGUCCAUGCCAACCUCAGAACAAUCGACAGGCAAAGACAAUCCUCAAGCACCUAGCUGGAUCAAGAGGAUCAGUGCCCUCGAAAAAACAUUGCAAAGAUAUGCAGAGAAGAAGACUGACACAGUCGUGGUUCCAGCAACAGGUAUCAACUUUGAUUCACUUGGAGAAGCGUAUGAUUGCUACAAUCUCUAUUCCUAG
RNAcentral lists this ribosomal RNA (633 nucleotides) under Triticum aestivum (bread wheat). RNAcentral describes it as "partial small subunit ribosomal RNA". The record is from RNAcentral. Lineage: Eukaryota; Viridiplantae; Streptophyta; Magnoliopsida; Poales; Poaceae.